This 383-nucleotide non-coding RNA is filed under the name Natrialba asiatica DSM 12278. RNAcentral describes it as "Archaeal large subunit ribosomal RNA". It matches the Rfam family "Archaeal large subunit ribosomal RNA", at positions 479 to 864 of the family's 2987-position model. Lineage: Archaea; Methanobacteriati; Methanobacteriota; Halobacteria; Halobacteriales; Natrialbaceae. The record is from Rfam by way of RNAcentral.
AUAGCGAACAAGUAGUGUGAACGAACGCUGAAAAGCACCCCACGAAGGGAGGUGCAAUAGGGCGUGAAAUCAGUUGGCGAUCGAACGACGGGGCUCAAAAGGUCCUGUACACAAUGAACUGGGUGUGAACCCGUAGUAAGCCGUACAGGAAGCCGGAGUUCCGUCGUGCGUUUUGAAAAACGAACCAGGGAGUGUGCCUGUUUGACGAGUCUAACCCGAUUAUCGGGGAAGGCGUAGGGAAACCGAUAUGGCCGCAGUCUUUCGACGAGGGCCACCGUGUUCAAGCGCGGGGAGUCAAACGGGCACGACCCGAAACCGGACGAUCUAGACAUGGACAAGGUGAAGCGUGCCGAAAGGCACGUGGAGGCCUGUUAGCGUUGGUG